UGCGUAGACGGCAUAGUAAGUUCGCUGUUAAAUAUUCCGGCUCAACCGGAAAGCUGCGGUGGAAACUACUAAGCUAGAGGAUGGAAGAGAGAAGUGGAAUUCUCGGAGUAGCGGUAAAAUGCGUGGAUCUCGAGAGGAACACCGAUGGCGAAGGCAGCUUCUUGGUCCAUUCCUGACGUUGAGGCACGAAAGCGUGGGGAGCAAACAGGAUUAGAUACCCUGGUAGUCC
This 229-nucleotide ribosomal RNA is filed under the name uncultured bacterium. RNAcentral describes it as "partial 16S ribosomal RNA". It matches the Rfam family "Bacterial small subunit ribosomal RNA", at positions 568 to 796 of the family's 1533-position model. The record is from RNAcentral.